ACGCACGCUGGCGGCAGGCCUAACACCUGCAAGUCGAGCGGACCUUUCGGGGUCAGCGGCGGACGGGUGAGUAACGCGUGGGAAUAUGCCCUUCUCUACGGAAUAGUCCUGGGAAACUGGGGGUAAUACCGUAUACGCCCUUUGGGGGAAAGAUUUAUCGGGGAAGGAUUAGCCCGCGUUGGAUUAGGUAGUUGGUGGGGUAAUGGCCUACCAAGCCGACGAUCCAUAGCUGGUUUGAGAGGAUGAUCAGCCACACUGGGACUGAGACACGGCCCAGACUCCUACGGGAGGCAGCAGUGGGGAAUCUUAGACAAUGGGGGCAACCCUGAUCUAGCCAUGCCGCGUGAGUGAUGAAGGCCUUAGGGUUGUAAAGCUCUUUCAGCUGGGAAGAUAAUGACGGUACCAGCAGAAGAAGCCCCGGCUAACUCCGUG
This 432-nucleotide ribosomal RNA is filed under the name uncultured bacterium. Its description in RNAcentral is "partial 16S ribosomal RNA". It matches the Rfam family "Bacterial small subunit ribosomal RNA", at positions 29 to 507 of the family's 1533-position model. The record is from RNAcentral.